Molecule: non-coding RNA, 138 nt
Organism: Streptomyces sp. MP131-18
Lineage: Bacteria; Bacillati; Actinomycetota; Actinomycetes; Kitasatosporales; Streptomycetaceae
Source: Rfam
CUGCCGGUGGAAGUCCGGUCCGGGUAGCUGCCAGGAGGCCCGGUAGCAGACUGGCGGCGUCGGGGGGAAACGCCCGGCGUCGAAGCCCAGUGUCGAAAGCCCUGUGAAGGGGGAGCAAAGCAGCGGUCCGUAGCAUCA